RNAcentral lists this unclassified non-coding RNA (161 nucleotides) under uncultured Bionectriaceae. Its description in RNAcentral is "sequence contains ITS1". Lineage: Eukaryota; Fungi; Ascomycota; Sordariomycetes; Hypocreales. The record is from RNAcentral.
UAGAGUCUCUGAACUCCCAAACCUUUGUGAACAUACCACUGUUGCUUCGGCGGGAUCGCCCCGGGCGCGCCUCUGGGCGUGUUCCGGAUCCAAGGCGCCCGCCGAGGGUAUCAAACUCUUGCUUUUAUAGCGGACUUCUGAGUAUCAAACAAAAUAAAUUA